CAGCAGCCACGGGAAUACGAAGGGGGCUAGCGUUGCUCGGAAUUACUGGGCGUAAAGCGUGCGUAGGCGGUUCGUUAAGUCUGUUGUGAAAGCCCCGGGCUCAACCUGGGAAUGGCAAUGGAUACUGGCGAGCUAGAGUGUGUCAGAGGAUGGUGGAAUUCCCGGUGUAGCGGUGAAAUGCGUUGAGAUCGGAAAGAACACCAACGGCGAAAGCACUCUGCUGGGCCGACACUGACACUGAGAGACGAAAGCUAGGGGAGCAAAUGGGAUUAGAUACCCCUGUAGUCCCUGUCUCUUAUAC
This 301-nucleotide ribosomal RNA is filed under the name uncultured bacterium. Its description in RNAcentral is "partial 16S ribosomal RNA". It matches the Rfam family "Bacterial small subunit ribosomal RNA", at positions 509 to 807 of the family's 1533-position model. The record is from RNAcentral.